UACGUAGGGUGCAAGCGUUGUCCGGAAUUAUUGGGCGUAAAGAGCUCGUAGGCGGUCUGUCGCGUCGGCUGUGAAAACUCGGGGCUCAACUCCGAGCUUGCAGUCGAUACGGGCAGGCUAGAGUUCGGCAGGGGAGACUGGAAUUCCUGGUGUAGCGGUGGAAUGCGCAGAUAUCAGGAGGAACACCGGUGGCGAAGGCGGGUCUCUGGGCAGUAACUGACGCUGAGGAGCGAAAGCGUGGGGAGCAAACAGG
This 253-nucleotide ribosomal RNA is filed under the name uncultured bacterium. RNAcentral describes it as "partial 16S ribosomal RNA". It matches the Rfam family "Bacterial small subunit ribosomal RNA", at positions 524 to 776 of the family's 1533-position model. The record is from RNAcentral.